GGUCGUCUAGCUCAGUUGGUAGAGUGUAAGGCUCUUAACCUUGUGGUUGUGGGUUCGAGCCCCACGGUGGGUG
This is a non-coding RNA of Zea mays, 73 nucleotides long. NCBI's taxonomy places the organism in Eukaryota, Viridiplantae, Streptophyta, Magnoliopsida, Poales, Poaceae. The record is from Rfam.